Molecule: RNA transcript, 3958 nt
Organism: Neocloeon triangulifer
Lineage: Eukaryota; Metazoa; Arthropoda; Insecta; Ephemeroptera; Baetidae
Gene name: SID1 transmembrane family member 1-like
Exons: 16
Source: RefSeq, a predicted model, not a curated record
GAAUGGUAAAAAAUCAGCGUGGGGUUCCAUAAAAAAGCCUCGCCCAUGCAGCAUGCUCGCAGAUCAGGAGAUGCUAUUUUAGUGUUGUAUAAGACGCCGCUGAAGAGGACUUUGAAGAGGCGGACCAUUCAGAGAGCGCAAGAUGAGAUUAUACUACUAUGGGUAUCUUCUAAGCAUCCUUUUGGGAUCCAAUUUUGGCGAAACCAUCAAAGGAAAAAUAGGAGAGGUUUACAUCCGAAAAAUCGACUACAGCAAUUCGUUUACAAUAGAAUUUUCAAAAGAGCAGUUAAGUCCUCAUCAACCAGCUCGAGUCCACGCUCACAAGAUCUACACAUCAGACGAUGCUGAUAAUGAGGACCCUGUGUUUGUGGUGAUUAGGCAAGAGCGGGACGUCGUCUCGUGGGAAUUACCAUAUUUAAGUGAAAAUGGGCAGUUAUACAACUUUGCGUCUCGCUCGACCUGUCCAUAUGAAAACGACUCUUUGGUGGUGAUUGUGUCAACGCCGAGUGUUCAAGGAGUCAAAAUCGAAGUGCAUGUUGGUCAGCAGACGUUUUACAAGGUGCCACUAAAUUCAGCUAUUCGAACGCACGCGGCCCCCACGGCACCUCGCUACUUCCGAUUUGAUUUUCCACAAGGUGUGGACAAUGUCCUGCUGGAAGUCACAAGCCCAAACGACACCUGUGCCUCGUUGAGUCUCUUCAAAUCGUGCUCAAUUCAUCAGCUAGUGGAAUUCUCAACACAUAGAGACAGCUACAGACAAACAAUAACUAGAAAUGGAGGAAUGAUGAUCAAUCGAAAAAUGUUUGUGAAAGGCUAUUUCUAUAUUGGGUUUGUCGUUUUCUCCGACGAUCAGCAAUGCUUGGAUGAUUUUAUACAGCCCGACUUGAAUGGGUCCAUCAUACUAGAUUCUGUGCGCGUGAAAAAUCUGACGCUGAGCUUCAGAGACAUUUCGCACGUUAGAUCUUCUGUCAUUGUGAUGGCCACUUGUGGAUUCUUUUUGAUACUGGCUUUACUUGGCACCAUUGCUUGGGCCAUCUACAGUCGCUGCUGCAAAGAAAAGGAAUUACACGUCAAUGAAGAAAAUAAUACUGAUGACCUUUUGCAACCUAAAGAAGAGGAAUUGAAUGGAGACGCAGGUGACUCAACAGCAACAGCAGGACCAUCAAAUAUUCAAAACGAGACUGUAAUAUCCCCUGGGAAACAUAUUCUAGACCAUUCGCUUCCAAUUGGUCAGAAAAGCGUGAUGCAAAAAUUGAGCGACAAAAUUAAAAACGGGGAAAAAUUGUACCUAUCCGACUUGAUGUGGUACGACUCAAAAGAACUGACCGAUCCAAAAAGCUUCUACUCGUGGAUUUUGGUCGCCAUCAUCAUUUACAAUGGCAUACCCGUCAUUUAUAUGGUCAUUGUUUAUCAGCUGAACAUUCACAAAACCGGCGAUAUGGAUUGGUGUUAUUACAAUUUCUACUGCUCGCACCCUCUGAUGUUUCUCUCGGACUUCAACCACGUUGCCUCAAAUAUUGGCUACGGAUUCCUGGGACUGAUUUUCAUAUUUAUUGUAAAACAACGACACAACAACUUUCUCAGUGGGCCUUUGAGAUAUCAUUACCUUGGCGUGCCGCAACAAUUUGACCUUUUCUACACCAUGGGUUGGGCGCUCUUUGCUGAAUGCAUCUGCAGCUCCUGCUACCACGUCUGCCCCAACAGGUUCAACUUCCAAAUAGACACGUGCUUCAUGUACGUAAUAGCAGUGAUGUGUGGAAUUAAAUUAUAUCAAAAACGCCACCCUUGCGGUGCAAUGGAUGCCAAAAAUGCCUUUUUCUUCCUGGCCAUCCUGAAUGUUAUUAGUUGGCUCGGAGAGUUACUUGGAAAUUACUUAAUAACGUGGAUUGUCUUCAGUCUUUUGUACUUGUGCGUCAACAUCUUCUGCUGCGUCCACGUGUACUACAGUGGUUGCUGGAAGUUCCGAAAACCAACGAAGACGUUGUUCCGAGAAAUCAGCGCCAACAACUGGUGCAUCAAAUACAAGGACAGAUUCACCUAUACAACUAUUAUAUUUGGGCUGAACUUCAUCCUACUUGUGUUUGGGCUGGUGGUGCGGCCUGAUGAUUUUGCUUCGCACCUUCUCGCCAUCCUGAUUGCAAACCUUUUUGUUUGCACCGUUGUGUAUUUAGUGGUCAAGAGCACUGUCGAAGGCAAUCGCCAGUGCUGCUGCUGCAAUUGCCUUUUCUGCUGCCGUUUGAAGCCAGUGAUUUUAUUAGUCAUCAGCGUCUGCUUUUGGGUCCCCGCAGUUUAUUUUUUCGGACUGAACAGCAGCGCAUGGGAGGAAACGCCAGCCGUGUCUCGCACCUUCAACAAGCACUGCAAACUUCUUGACUUUUUUGACUACCACGAUUUAUGGCACCUACUCUCCUCCUUUGGUCUUUUCUUUUACUUUUGGUUUCUUCUGAUCAUUGACGACGACCUCAAGGAAACACUAAGAUCGAAAAUUCAAGUCAUUUUAUAAUUAAAUUAAUCGCAGUUUAUUUCAAUCAAAACUUAUCGAUGAAUAAUAACAGAAGAUAAUUCUAAAGAAAAUUAUGCGUAAUAAAAGUUGCAAAAAAGUCUGCUGGUGACCAGCACUGAUUGUGAGACAAUUGUGCUAAAACUAAGGAAAAAAUUAAAUUUUCGGACUUUUGUAGUUAUAAUAUUAAUUAAUAGUCAUGGACUUGGUUUUGAUAGCAAGGAACAUACCCUUAAAAACUGUUCUCAACUUUAUUUUACACUAAAAAAAAAUUUAAAAGAUGAUCGUAUUAGGAAUUUGCAGCGUUAGAAUAGGAUUAAUAUAUUAGCAAAUUUAAAGCGAUUUAAUAGUUAAUUAGUUAGUUUAUAGUAUGUAUACUUCACAUUCUGUUAAUAAUGAUUCAAAAUUAAAUGAGAAUUACUUUAAGUGUGAUAAAUUUGGUUAGAAAUUAGUCAGUGAUAAUGUGGGCCUCUAAUAUGACUUUAAAUGAACAAGCUUCCGUUUCAUUCUUGUCAUUAUAAUGAUAAUGCCAUAUGAGAAUUCACCUUGGGACUUGCAGGAAAUGAAGGUGAUAAUAUGAUUAAUUCGCCUCAUUCACCUGUCAAAAUUCAGUACCUAUCACUCAAUUACCUAUUGUACCUGAUAAAGGUACAAUCCAGUGCGUGAAUGCCAACAAUGAAGUUUAAACUUUCCUUCUGCCUGCUGGUGUUCGCCUUUUUUAUUUACGUGAGCCGCUUUUUUUUAAAUAUUAAUGAUUUUAACUAUUUUAAGGCAUCUAUAAAGGCGUCAAAUGCAAAAAACGUGAAGAUUAUUGUAAGGAAAAAUGUUAUAAGACCUUUGGGUGUGUGUUAAUUUGUGGAUUAAUGUUGGAAAAUAAAAAUUGUUUAAAUUUUGAAGCGAUCAAACAAGAUUCAGCGCAGAACCGUUUUUGGAUAACCGUCCAGAAACAGAGAAAAUUGAUUGCACAUUGCUGCGGCACUACGGGAUCGUGCUUUUCAAUUAAUUCAACCAGAUCUACUCCGCCUCCAGAUGAAGAAACAACUUAUUACAAAUUGUUGCAAACCACCACCUCGCAAAAUCUGGUGUCCGAAACCAAGGAAAUUAUAGAUAACGUGGCAUUACUAUCCACAGACAAUACAAUAACAUUUCCAUCGGAAGAUACAUCAUUGGAAACACCCGCAGGAAAAAGUACGCUGGAUUUUAAAACAUCCAGCAGCAUAGAAAUAACAGUGCAUUCCACGCUAUUAAACAAAAUGUCGACAAUUCCGGCUACAGAAAAAACUACAAGGGAAAAAGUUUCCCCAUCUUUGACAAUUGAAGAUACUUCUACAUCAACUACAGCAUCGUCAACUCCCACAAUAUUAGAUUUAACUCCAGCAACAUCCAAUUUAGGAGAAACUUUGACCAUCAAAAAUGAGACUACGGGUACUAUAACGUCCAAUUCUUUUACACAACUUC